This 399-nucleotide ribosomal RNA is filed under the name uncultured bacterium. RNAcentral's name for it is "bacterial SSU rRNA". It matches the Rfam family "Bacterial small subunit ribosomal RNA", at positions 367 to 758 of the family's 1533-position model. The record is from RNAcentral.
AUUAUUUGGGGGCACCCUGCUCCGCAACUGCUUGCGUGAGUGAAGAAGGCCUUCGGGUUGUAAAGCUCUUUUGUCAGGGAAGAAACACCGGCUCUAACACAGUCCGGGAAUGACGGUACCUGAAGAAUAAGCACCGGCUAACUACGUGCCAGCAGCCGCGGUAAUACGUAGGGUGCAAGCGUUAAUCGGAAUUACUGGGCGUAAAGCGUGCGCAGGCGGUUAUACAAGACAGGCGUGAAAUCCCCGGGCUUAACCUGGGAAUGGCGCCUGUGACUGUAUAGCUAGAGUGUGUCAGAGGGGGGUAGAAUUCCACGUGUAGCAGUGAAAUGCGUAGACAUGUGGAGGAAUACCAAUGGCGAAGGCAGCCCCCUGGGAUAACACUGACGCUCAUGCACGAAA